AGACUUUUCUCGCUGCAACAAGUGCACCUGGCAGAGCACCAAGAGGAGUUUACUGUUAACAUUCACGCUGACUUCAACACUGUCAAAGAGCUGAGUGUACGACCAGAUGUAGUGAAGUUAUCCUACCACAGAUCCAACGAGCUGAUAACGAGCAACAACUACUCAUCUGCCCUUGACGAGGGUUACAACGUCAUAAAAACCGCCCUGUUCGAGUCCAUCGAGGUGCAGAAGUCCAAGUCCCUCGUAAAGCAGAUCGUGACCG
Molecule: long non-coding RNA, 262 nt
Organism: Bolinopsis microptera
Lineage: Eukaryota; Metazoa; Ctenophora; Tentaculata; Lobata; Bolinopsidae
Exons: 3
Source: RefSeq, a predicted model, not a curated record